RNAcentral lists this ribosomal RNA (405 nucleotides) under uncultured Microbacterium sp. Its description in RNAcentral is "bacterial SSU rRNA". It matches the Rfam family "Bacterial small subunit ribosomal RNA", at positions 976 to 1382 of the family's 1533-position model. Lineage: Bacteria; Bacillati; Actinomycetota; Actinomycetes; Micrococcales; Microbacteriaceae. The record is from RNAcentral.
AAGGCUUGACAUAUAGAGGAAACGUACUGGAAACAGUCGCCCCGCAAGGUCUCUAUACAGGUGGUGCAUGGUUGUCGUCAGCUCGUGUCGUGAGAUGUGGGUUAAGUCCCGCAACGAGCGCAACCCUCGUUCUAUGUUGCCAGCACGUAAUGGUGGGAACUCAUGGGAUACUGCCGGGGUCAACUCGGAGGAAGGUGGGGAUGGCGUCAAAUCAUCAUGCCCCUUAUGUCUUGGGCUUCACGCAUGCUACAAUGGCCGGUACAAAGGGCUGCAAUACCGUAAGGUGGAGCGAAUCCCAAAAAGCCGGUCCCAGUUCGGAUUGAGGUCUGCAACUCGACCUCAUGAAGUCGGAGUCGCUAGUAAUCGCAGAUCAGCAACGCUGCGGUGAAUACGUUCCCGGGUCUU